Molecule: ribosomal RNA, 361 nt
Filed under: uncultured bacterium
Lineage: Bacteria
Description: bacterial SSU rRNA
Rfam family: Bacterial small subunit ribosomal RNA
Source: RNAcentral
AACGAACGCUGGCGGCAUGCCUAACACAUGCAAGUCGAACGAGACCUUCGGGUCUAGUGGCGCACGGGUGCGUAACGCGUGGGAAUCUGCCCUUGGGUUCGGAAUAACAGUUAGAAAUGACUGCUAAUACCGGAUAAUGUCUUCGGACCAAAGAUUUAUCGCCCAGGGAUGAGCCCGCGUAGGAUUAGCUAGUUGGUGAGGUAAAGGCUCACCAAGGCGACGAUCCUUAGCUGGUCUGAGAGGAUGAUCAGCCACACUGGGACUGAGACACGGCCCAGACUCCUACGGGAGGCAGCAGUGGGGAAUAUUGGACAAUGGGCGGAAAGCCUGAUCCAGCAAUGCCGCGUGAGUGAUGAAGGCC